AGAGUUUGAUCAUGGCUCAGGACGAACGCUGGCGGCGUGCUUAACACAUGCAAGUCGAACGGAAAGGCCCUUCGGGGUACUCGAGUGGCGAACGGGUGAGUAACACGUGGGUGAUCUGCCCUGCACUUUGGGAUAAGCCUGGGAAACUGGGUCUAAUACCGAAUAGGACCACGCGCUUCAUGGUGUGUGGUGGAAAGCUUUUGCGGUGUGGGAUGGGCCCGCGGCCUAUCAGCUUGUUGGUGGGGUAAUGGCCUACCAAGGCGACGACGGGUAGCCGGCCUGAGAGGGUGACCGGCCACACUGGGACUGAGAUACGGCCCAGACUCCUACGGGAGGCAGCAGUGGGGAAUAUCGCACAAUGGGCGCAAGCCUGAUGCAGCGACGCCGCGUGAGGGAUGACGGCCUUCGGGUUGUAAACCUCUUUCAGCAGGGACGAAGCGCAAGUGACGGUACCUGCAGAAGAAGCACCGGCCAACUACGUGCCAGCAGCCGCGGUAAUACGUAGGGUGCGAGCGUUGUCCGGAAUUACUGGGCGUAAAGAGCUCGUAGGUGGUUUGUCGCGUUGUUCGUGAAAUCUCACGGCUUAACUGUGAGCGUGCGGGCGAUACGGGCAGACUUGAGUACUGCAGGGGAGACUGGAAUUCCUGGUGUAGCGGUGGAAUGCGCAGAUAUCAGGAGGAACACCGGUGGCGAAGGCGGGUCUCUGGGCAGUAACUGACGCUGAGGAGCGAAAGCGUGGGGAGCGAACAGGAUUAGAUACCCCGGUAGUCCAA
Molecule: ribosomal RNA, 773 nt
Filed under: uncultured bacterium
Lineage: Bacteria
Description: bacterial SSU rRNA
Rfam family: Bacterial small subunit ribosomal RNA
Source: RNAcentral